This is a long non-coding RNA of Cyclopterus lumpus (lumpfish), 2139 nucleotides long. The record is from Ensembl. Lineage: Eukaryota; Metazoa; Chordata; Actinopteri; Perciformes; Cyclopteridae.
AUGUUUGAAGUUUUCUUUUCUUUUAAAAUCAUGCGACGUCUCCAGAUGCCUCCAUGUUUUUUCCAUUGUUUUUUAUUUCUGACGUAUCUCAUUGUUCCUACUGGACAACGAACGCAGCGUUACGAGACGAGAGGGCGGAGAAAAAGGAAAGCGAACCCGAAGGAGAGCGAACCCGAACACGAAGGAGAGCGAACCCGAACCCGAAGGAGAGCGAACCCAAGGAGAGCAAACCCGAACCCGAAGGAGAGCGAACCCGAACCCGAAGGAGAGCGAACCCGAAGGAGAGCGAACCCAAGGAGAGCGAACCCGAACCCAAGGAGAGCGAACCCGAACCCGAAGGAGAGCGAACCCCAAGGAGAGCGAACCCGAACCCAAGGAGAGCGAACCCGAACCCCAAGAAGAGCGAACCCAAGGAGAGCGAACCCAAGGAGAACGAACCCGAACCCGAAGGAGAGCGAACCCGAACCCGAAGGAGAGCGAACCCGAACCCAAGGAGAGCGAACCCGAACCCGAGGAGAGCGAACCCGAAGGAGAGCGAACCCGAACCCGAAGGAGAGCGAACCCCAAGGAGAGCGAACCCCAAGGAGAGCGAACUCAAGGAGAGCGAACCCAAGGAGAGCGAACCCGAACCCGAAGGAGAGCGAACCCCAAGGAGAGCGAACCCGAAGGAGAGCGAACCCGAAGGAGAGCGAACCCCAAGGAGAGCGAACCCAAGGAGAGCGAACCCCAAGGAGAGCGAACCCGAACCCGAAGGAGAGCGAACCCCAAGGAGAGCGAACCCGAAGGAGAGCGACCCCGAAGGAGAGCGAACCCCAAGGAGAGCGAACCCAAGGAGAGCGAACCCCAAGGAGAGCGAACCCAAGGAGAGCGAACCCCAAGGAGAGCGAACCCCAAGGAGAGCGAACCCCAAGGAGAGCGAACCCCAAGGAGAGCGAACCCGAAGGAGAGCGAACCCGAAGGAGAGCGAACCCAAGGAGAGCGAACCCGAAGGAGAGCGAACCCGAACCCCAAGGAGAGCGAACCCCAAGGAGAGCGAACCCCAAGGAGAGCGAACCCCAAGGAGAGCGAACCCGAAGGAGAGCAAACCCGACCCCAAGGAGAGCGAACCCCAAGGAGAGCGAACCCGAAGGAGAGCAAACCCGACCCCAAGGAGAGCGAACCCGACCCCAAGGAGAGCGAACCCCAAGGAGAGCGAACCCGAACCCAAGGAGAGCGAACCCCAAGGAGAGCGAACCCAAGGAGAGCGAACCCGAACCCAAGGAGAGCGAACCCCAAGGAGAGCGAACCCAAGGAGAGCGAACCCGAACCCAAGGAGAGCGAACCCGAAGGAGAGCGAACCCGAAGGAGAGCGAACCCGAAGGAGAGCGAACCCAAGGAGAGCGAACCCGAACCCAAGGAGAGCGAACCCGAAGGAGAGCGAACCCGAACCCGAAGGAGAGCGAACCCCAAGGAGAGCGAACCCCAAGGAAAACGAACCCGAACCCAAGGAGAGCGAACCCGAACCCCAAGAAGAGCGAACCCAAGGAGAGCGAACCCGAACCCCAAGAAGAGCGAACCCAAGGAGAGCGAACCCGAACCCGAAGGAGAGCGAACCCAAGGAGAGCGAACCCGAACCCGAAGGAGAGCGAACCCAAGGAGAGCGAACCCAAGGAGAGCGAACCCAAGGAGAGCGAACCCCAAGGAGAGCGAACCCCAAGGAGAGCGAACCCGAAGGAGAGCGAACCCCAAGGAGAGCGAACCCCAAGGAGAGCGAACCCCAAGGAGAGCGAACCCCAAGGAGAGCGAACCCCAAGGAGAGCGAACCCGAACCCCAAGGAGAGCGAACCCCAAGGAGAGCGAACCCAAGGAGAGCGAACCCAAGGAGAGCGAACCCCAAGGAGAGCGAACCCCAAGGAGAGCGAACCCAAGGAGAGCGAACCCAAGGAGAGCGAACCCCAAGGAGAGCGAACCCGAACCCCAAGAAGAGCGAACCCAAGGAGAGCGAACCCAAGGAGAGCGAACCCAAGGAGAGCGAACCCGAACCCCAAGAAGAGCGAACCCAAGGAAAACGAACCCGAACCCAAGGAGAGCGAACCCAAGGAGAGCGAACCCAAAGCCAAAUAUGAAACUGGCAAGAAAAGGAGACGAGCAGCUCGGUGA